CUACGGGGUGCACCAGUGAGGAAUAUUGGUCAAUGGGCGUAAGCCUGAACCAGCCAAGUAGCGUGAAGGAUGACUGCCCUCUGGGUUGUAAACUUCUUUUAUAGGGGAAUAAAGUGCAUCACGUGUGAUGUUUUGUAUGUACCCUACGAAUAAGGACCGGCUAACUCCGUGCCAGCAGCCGCGGUAAUACGGAGGGUCUGAGCGUUAUCCGGAUUUAUUGGGUUUAAAGGGUGCGCAGGCGGGAUGUUAAGUCAGUUGUGAAAGUUGGACGCUCAACGUUCAAAUUGCAAUUGAAACUGGCAUUCUUGAGUGCAGUGGAGGUAAGCGGAAUUCGUGGUGUAGCGGUGAAAUGCUUAGAUAUCACGAAGAACUCCGAUUGCGAAGGCAGCUUGCUAUACUGCAACUGACGCUCAUGCACGAAGGUGUGGGUAUCAAACAGGAUUAGAUACCCGUGUAGUC
RNAcentral lists this ribosomal RNA (459 nucleotides) under uncultured bacterium. Its description in RNAcentral is "partial 16S ribosomal RNA". It matches the Rfam family "Bacterial small subunit ribosomal RNA", at positions 339 to 795 of the family's 1533-position model. The record is from RNAcentral.